UGGGCUUGACAUGUGAGUGCCCCGAAGGGAAGCCGUGUUUCCACGGCGGUCACUCACAUGUCAAGCCCAGGUAAGGUUCUUCGCGUUGAGUCGAAUUAAACCACAUGCUCCGCUGCUUGUGCGGGCCCCCGUCAAUUCCUUUGAGUUUUAGCCUUGCGGCCGUACUCCCCAGGCGGGGAACUUAAUGCGUUAGCUUCGGCACGGAUGGAGUCGACACCACCCACACCUAGUUCCCAUCGUUUACGGCGUGGACUAC
This 256-nucleotide unclassified non-coding RNA is filed under the name uncultured Thermoleophilia bacterium. RNAcentral describes it as "contains 16S-23S intergenic spacer region". Lineage: Bacteria; Bacillati; Actinomycetota; Thermoleophilia. The record is from RNAcentral.